GUAGGGAAUCUUCGGCAAUGGGCGAAAGCCUGACCGAGCAACGCCGCGUGAAUGAUGAAGGCCUUCGGGUUGUAAAAUUCUGUUAUAAGGGAAGAACGACUUUAGUAGGAAAUGGCUAAAGUGUGACGGUACCUUAUGAGAAAGCCACGGCUAACUACGUGCCAGCAGCCGCGGUAAUACGUAGGUGGCAAGCGUUAUCCGGAAUUAUUGGUCGUAAAGAGCGCGCAGGUGGUUGAUUAAGUCUGAUGUGAAAGCCCACGGCUUAACCGUGGAGGGUCAUUGGAAACUGGUCGACUUGAGUGCAGAAGAGGGAAGUGGAAUUCCAUGUGUAGCGGUGAAAUGCGUAGAGAUAUGGAGGAACACCAGUGGCGAAGGCGGCUUCCUGGUCUGUAACUGACACUGAGGCGCGAAAGCGUGGGGAGCAAACAGGAUUAGAUACCCUGGUAGUCCACGCCGUAAACGAUGAGUGCUAAGUGUUGGGGGUCGAACCUCAGUGCUGAAGUUAACGCAUUAAGCACUCCGCCUGGGGAGUACGGUCGCAAGAC
Molecule: ribosomal RNA, 545 nt
Filed under: uncultured Turicibacter sp.
Lineage: Bacteria; Bacillati; Bacillota; Erysipelotrichia; Erysipelotrichales; Turicibacteraceae
Description: bacterial SSU rRNA
Rfam family: Bacterial small subunit ribosomal RNA
Source: RNAcentral